Molecule: long non-coding RNA, 518 nt
Organism: Harmonia axyridis
Lineage: Eukaryota; Metazoa; Arthropoda; Insecta; Coleoptera; Coccinellidae
Exons: 2
Source: RefSeq, a predicted model, not a curated record
UUAACGAUCAUCCAAUCACAAGUCAAGUGGUUGCAAAUAACCAAAGAAAGAUCAUCUGAAGAAACCUGCAUAUUCAUGUUGAUGAUGAAGCGUUCUAGACCCUUGUUGACCUGCGGUUCAAGCAAAAGAGCAGCAGCAAAUAUUGGAGCUUCAAGAAAACAUAAUAACAACUAGCGAGCAGGAGGACGUAUGCAGAUGGGGAAAGAAAACGAAGAGAAUAUUGGUUUUGAUGACUAGAAGAGUUCUGGGUUGCAGAUAAAAUCGACGAAUGUAGGAAAUUCUCGAAUGAGAAACCUUAGAGUGAAGAAGGAGAUGACAUUAAACAUGUUGUGGACAAGAAAAACUGUGGCAAACAAAGGAGUAGAAGAUCAUAUCCUGAGGAUGGUUAUACACAUGAGAUGAUCUCCAAUCUUCAAUUGAAAGCGGAUGGAUAAUUAUAUCUAUAAAUAUUCAAUGUACAAAUUUGUCAAUUUCAGUGUAUCCAUUUCAUUUCUAAUAAAAAAUAUAAUUAUAAAAAA